GCCCUUCAGCAACUGUAGGAGCGGGCGUGGUGUUGUCGCUACUGUCAGAUCCUGGACCGGGCAGCCGACUUUUUCUUGACUUGGACAUCAGCAGUGGAAGCAAGGGAAGUUUCAAGACACACAGUAAAGUUUGCUUCAGUCCAGGGAUCACAGUGCACAAAACCCGAGCAUACUUCUCUCUGAGCUCUCCGUGAUGUUGAAAAAGGAAGCCCAGGGUAGAGGAGACCAGCACAGCCCCAGCAUUCCUGAGCACUCCUUGUGAUGUAAGCUUCUUCAAAGAUGACCAAAUGCUUACCCUGUCUUGUGCCCAGCUCAGUGUACAGAGAAAUAACUACACUGAGAGAGAAACAAAACCAGGAAGCAGUCCCUGCCCUGAGAAGAAGCAGCCAUUAGUACACAGAGGGUAUGCUCACAUAAGAAGUAAAGCUUUCCUUUGUGGGACAUAUUUUUAUUGAAAAAUAUUUCUUCUGCUAACAGGCAUGAGAAGCAUUGGGUUGAUCAGAUGUGCCACCUUACUGACUGAUGCCUGAUGGACAUGG
This 539-nucleotide long non-coding RNA is filed under the name Mus caroli (Ryukyu mouse). RNAcentral describes it as "lncRNA (MGP_CAROLIEiJ_G0004963.1)". The record is from RNAcentral. Lineage: Eukaryota; Metazoa; Chordata; Mammalia; Rodentia; Muridae.